RNAcentral lists this transfer RNA (74 nucleotides) under Apaloderma vittatum (bar-tailed trogon). It matches the Rfam family "tRNA". From Rfam's summary of the family: Transfer RNA (tRNA) molecules are approximately 80 nucleotides in length. Their secondary structure includes four short double-helical elements and three loops (D, anti-codon, and T loops). Further hydrogen bonds mediate the characteristic L-shaped molecular structure. tRNAs have two regions of fundamental functional importance: the anti-codon, which is responsible for specific mRNA codon recognition, and the 3' end, to which the tRNAs corresponding amino acid is attached (by aminoacyl-tRNA synthetases). tRNAs cope with the degeneracy of the genetic code in two manners: having more than one tRNA (with a specific anti-codon) for a particular amino acid; and 'wobble' base-pairing, i.e. permitting non-standard base-pairing at the 3rd anti-codon position. Lineage: Eukaryota; Metazoa; Chordata; Aves; Trogoniformes; Trogonidae. The record is from Rfam by way of RNAcentral.
GGCCGGUUAGCUCAGUCGGCUAGAGUGUGGUGCUGAUAACACCAAGGUCGUGGGUUCCAACCCCGUGCGGUCCC